GUUAGAGCUCAGACUGUGGUUUGGAUCCUAAAGCUAAGCUGAAGGCUGGAAAUUGCAAAAAUUAGAAGAAAGCUAGAUGUAAUGAUAGGUGGUUAGCUCAUCCCAUGAAAGAUGUCUGCGCCUUAAAGCCGAGUUCUGAAAGAGCACAGUGUUCCUCUGGUUAUAUAUCCAGUGUGGUGCUGAAGUCAAAAGAUGUUCAGAAAAUCCAGAAGUGCCUUGAUGUGGAUUGAAGUUGUCACAUGACUCAGUGGGUCCUAACGGAAGAUCUGUUGAACUUACCCAAGCAGAUGCAAGCAACUUAGCAGGGCUUCCUCCAUGGGGGUGUUUUCUGUCAUCAGGUGCCCAGGGAAUGGCACAAGAAUUCCUCCAGGGCAAACUUUAUCUCUUUUGGUGCAAGAAGUAUUCAUCACCACCUGAAAAUGAGCAGGUUCUGAGACAUCCAGACGCUCUAGCCAGCUUCAGCUCUAUAACUGCACCCUGGUAUACGUGUUGUGUUGUGUUGGCAGUGUUGUAUUGGUGACCCGACUCCACUGGAGCAUGGAGCUGGCACAGGCUGUGUGCAAGGUAAGAAACCCAUGAAAUGUGUUCUUAUUACUCCAUUAAUUCAAGUGUCAGCACUUGUGGAAGCAUGCUAGUGAGAGGCCUUGCAGAUGUCCGCUCUGAUCAUGAGGUUGGUAAGUAAAUAAUUCUGUCAGACAAAUUCUGUACUUUUACUGGCUUUAAGAAAAAACAGUGCACUUUGAGAUAUGUAUUUCUUCCCAUUAAUAAAAGCAGACAGAUACCUGUAGGGAGCUUGACUCUCUGAAGGCUUCUUUAUUUAAAGGAAUUGCUUUCUGUCCCCUCUUUACAGUUCAGUCCCCCCUCUGUACAGUUAGCAGUACAUAACUUCUGCACUGAUUAUUCUAAAAAAAUGUUUGGAACAGAAAAUAUGACAAAUAGAAAAAGGUGACGAUGUCUGUAUAUACGAAGGAACUGGGACAAAUGAUAGUGACAUGUAUGUUUAUGUAUUCAUUCAGCGAUUGUGUUUCCUGAUUUCCUGUAGUAGUUGCAUAUAAUAUUGCUUCUUCACACUGUCUUGUUUGCUUAUAGUUUUGGUACCAGCCUCCCACCUCUGCUGGUUGAGGAAAUCAACACGUUUCUGUUGCUGCUAACUCAUUUAGUUUUGCAGUGUUGUCAGAGCAUGUCAUGUGAUGAGGAGGAGCGUUAGCUAGUCUUAGUAAAGCUGAAGUGCAUGUUGAAAGUAUGUACUUAGUAGCCCUAGAGACUGUCUAAAUGUUAAAUUCUUGUGUAUUUAAACUCUGUGUGAUAAGUGAUGUGCUAUUUUGCUUUGCUUUUUUUGAAACUCCAAAGGUUACAACUAGGAUAAGCUAAUGUCCACUCCUUGAAGUAUGCUGUGUUUGGUGAGGAGAAGACUUGGACUCUCAACCCACCUCACUUUGGACAGUGAGGUGGGUUGAGAACUGGCUGACUGGCAGAGCGUAGAGGGUCGUCGUUGGUGGUGCAGAGUCUGGCUGGAGACCUGUAACCAGUGGUGUCCCCCAGGGGUCUGUGCUGGGUCUGGUUCUUGUUCAACAUCUUCAUCAGUGACCUUGAUGAGGGGAUAGUGGCCACCCUCAGCAAGUUUGCUGAUGAUACGAAGUUGGGAGGAUUGGCUGACACGCCUGAAGGCUGUGCUGCCAUUCAGCGAGACCUGGACAAGCUGGAGAGCUGGGCAGUAG
This is a long non-coding RNA of Meleagris gallopavo (turkey), 1718 nucleotides long. The record is from Ensembl. NCBI's taxonomy places the organism in Eukaryota, Metazoa, Chordata, Aves, Galliformes, Phasianidae.